AGAGUUUGAUCCUGGCUCAGAACGAACGCUGGCGGCAGGCCUAACACAUGCAAGUCGAGCGCACUCUUCGGAGUGAGCGGCGGACGGGUUAGUAACGCGUGGGAAUAUACCCUUCUCUAAGGAAUAGCCUCGGGAAACUGAGAGUAAUACCUUAUACGCCCUUCGGGGGAAAGAUUUAUCGGAGAGGGAUUAGCCCGCGUAAGAUUAGAUAGUUGGUGGGGUAAUGGCCUACCAAGUCUACGAUCUUUAGCUGGUUUUAGAGGAUGAUCAGCAACACUGGGACUGAGACACGGCCCAGACUCCUACGGGAGGCAGCAGUGGGGAAUCUUGGACAAUGGGCGCAAGCCUGAUCCAGCCAUGCCGCGUGAGUGAUGAAGGCCUUAGGGUCGUAAAGCUCUUUCGCCAGGGAUGAUAAUGACAGUACCUGGUAAAGAAACCCCGCUAACU
RNAcentral lists this ribosomal RNA (447 nucleotides) under uncultured bacterium. RNAcentral's name for it is "bacterial SSU rRNA". It matches the Rfam family "Bacterial small subunit ribosomal RNA", at positions 8 to 502 of the family's 1533-position model. The record is from RNAcentral.